RNA transcript from Cucumis sativus (cucumber), 1697 nucleotides. It is a transcript of the gene named retrovirus-related Pol polyprotein from transposon RE1, with no coding region annotated. The transcript has 3 exons. The record is from RefSeq and is a predicted model, not a curated record. NCBI's taxonomy places the organism in Eukaryota, Viridiplantae, Streptophyta, Magnoliopsida, Cucurbitales, Cucurbitaceae.
GGAAGUUUCUCAUGGUAUCAGAGCCUAACAUUUGUUUUUCUUCUUCACUCAUCUUUUCUUUUUAAGAAGUGUUUGAACUUCUUUCUUUGUGAAACUGAAGUCUCAAGUCUCUCUUGAUCGGAGAGCUUCUUUUGCCAAGUGUAUCUGAUGAGUUCCUCAACUACCUUGCCUUCUUCUUCAGCUGAGAAAGACUCACUUUCACCAAUUUUUCUACUGUCCAACAUUUGUAACCUGAUUUCAAUGAGGCUUGACUCUACAAAUUUUGUCCUUUGGAAGUUCCAAUUGACAGCGAUUUUGAAAGCUCAUAAACUUUUUGGCUUUGUUGAUGGUACUAAUCCAUGUCCUCAGACUAGUCCGUCUACUACCUCGACCGUUCCGCCUCAAACGAAUCCUUUAUAUGAAGAUUGGAUUGCUAAGGAUCAGGCUCUUAUGACAGUCAUAAAUGCUACACUUUCACCUGAGGCUUUGGCAUAUGUUGUUGGAAGCACUUCUUCCAAACAGGUUUGGGAUGUUCUUGCAAAGCUUUAUUCUUCUGGUUCCCGGUCUAAUGUGGUGAAUUUGAAGUCCGAUUUGCAAACUAUUUACAAGAAGCCUGAUGAGUCUAUUGAUGCCUAUAUUAAACGGAUUAAGGAGAUCAAGGAUAAACUUGCUAAUGUUUCUACUUUUAUCAAUGAAGAGGAUCUUCUUAUCUAUGCUUUAAAUGGCCUUCCAAAUGAGUACAACACUUUCCGAACGUCAAUGCGUACACGUUCUCAACCUGUUACUUUUGAAGAACUUCAUGUUCUUCUAAGAGCUGAGGAAUCGGCUCUUGCAAAACAAUCUAAGUGUGAUGAUUCGUAUAAUCAACCGACUGUUUUACUCUCUUCUUCUCAAUCUCUCCUGUCAUGUGCUCCUACUUUCAAUAACAACUUUGUUCGAGGCAACGGACAUGGUAAAAAUUAUGGACAUGGACGUUUUUCUUUCGAUGCUCAAACUCGUGGUCAUGGUUUGUCUCAAGAACAAAAGCCCGUUCAUGAUAAUCAUGCAACUUGUCAGAUUUGUUCACGUCGUGGCCACACUGCACUCGAUUGUUUCAAUCGCAUGAACUAUAAUUUUCAAGGACGUCAUCCUCCACAACAACUUGCUGCAAUGGUUGCAUCGCAAAAUAAUGCAUUUCUAUCUAUUGUGAAUUCGUCUUCUUUGACCGAUUCGGGUUGCAACACUCAUAUUACUUCAGACAUGAAUUAUGUUUCUCUUGCACCUGAAUAUAAUGGUGAAGAACAAGUUGGUGUUGGUAAUGGACAGACUCGGCCUAUUUCUCACUCAGGGCAUUUCAAACUCGAGUUGGCCUCUUGCUCAGCAAGUGUCGCACAAUCGUUUUGUGCCACUAACCAUGCAUGAUGGAAAGUUAAACGAUGGGAUAGCCAAAUAAUCCACCUUCCUUGACCUAGCAAAGAAUAUGAUAUGGCUACAAGGGAAUUGUGAUGCCACCCAUUGCAUAAUCAUAUCCAAAUUCUUCUUCAGCUUGACUCAACAAAUCUUGAAACAAAGGAUGGUUCAAGUAAGAUAGCGAGAUGACAAAACGCUUCUUCUGUUCUUCUCCGACAUAGACCGUAAAGCAUCCUUUCGGAACAUCAAGAGACUUUGGAGUGGCUCUAUUUCCUGACGAUGUGGAUCGUCGAAGACUUGGCUUAGCAAGAACAAUGCUAGGCAAACGA